UCGCACCUACCGAUUGAAUGGUCCGGUAAAAACUAGGGACUUCUUAAUGUAACGUAAGAGGGAAUUAUUUUACACCUUAUCCUUUAGAGGAAGGUGAAGUCGUAACAAGGUU
RNAcentral lists this ribosomal RNA (112 nucleotides) under uncultured eukaryote. Its description in RNAcentral is "partial small subunit ribosomal RNA". It matches the Rfam family "Eukaryotic small subunit ribosomal RNA", at positions 1676 to 1801 of the family's 1831-position model. The record is from RNAcentral.